RNAcentral lists this ribosomal RNA (206 nucleotides) under uncultured bacterium. Its description in RNAcentral is "partial 16S ribosomal RNA". It matches the Rfam family "Bacterial small subunit ribosomal RNA", at positions 568 to 774 of the family's 1533-position model. The record is from RNAcentral.
UGCGUAGGUGGUUUCUUAAGUCAGAGGUGAAAGGCUACGGCUCAACCGUAGUAAGCCUUUGAAACUGGGAAACUUGAGUGCAGGAGAGGAGAUUGGAAUUCCUAGUGUAGCGGUGAAAUGCGUAGAUAUUAGGAGGAACACCAGUUGCGAAGGCGGCUCUCUGGACUGUAACUGACACUGAGGCACGAAAGCGUGGGGAGCAAACA